This 2903-nucleotide ribosomal RNA is filed under the name Enterobacter hormaechei. RNAcentral's name for it is "23S ribosomal RNA". It matches the Rfam family "Bacterial large subunit ribosomal RNA". Lineage: Bacteria; Pseudomonadati; Pseudomonadota; Gammaproteobacteria; Enterobacterales; Enterobacteriaceae. The record is from RNAcentral. RNAcentral also lists the same sequence under 1 other name.
UUAAGCGACUAAGCGUACACGGUGGAUGCCCUGGCAGUCAGAGGCGAUGAAGGACGUGCUAAUCUGCGAAAAGCGCCGGCGAGGUGAUAUGAACCUUUGACCCGGCGAUGUCCGAAUGGGGAAACCCAGUGCAAUCCGUUGCACUAUCGUUAACUGAAUACAUAGGUUAACGAGGCGAACCGGGGGAACUGAAACAUCUAAGUACCCCGAGGAAAAGAAAUCAACCGAGAUUCCCCCAGUAGCGGCGAGCGAACGGGGAGCAGCCCGGAGUCUGAAUCAGCUUGUGUGUUAGUGGAACGGUCUGGAAAGUCCGACGGUACAGGGUGAUAGUCCCGUACACGAAAAUGCACAUGCUGUGAACUCGAAGAGUAGGGCGGGACACGUGGUAUCCUGUCUGAAUAUGGGGGGACCAUCCUCCAAGGCUAAAUACUCCUGACUGACCGAUAGUGAACCAGUACCGUGAGGGAAAGGCGAAAAGAACCCCGGCGAGGGGAGUGAAAAAGAACCUGAAACCGUGUACGUACAAGCAGUGGGAGCCUCUUUAUGGGGUGACUGCGUACCUUUUGUAUAAUGGGUCAGCGACUUAUAUUCUGUAGCAAGGUUAACCGUAUAGGGGAGCCGAAGGGAAACCGAGUCUUAACUGGGCGUUAAGUUGCAGGGUAUAGACCCGAAACCCGGUGAUCUAGCCAUGGGCAGGUUGAAGGUUGGGUAACACUAACUGGAGGACCGAACCGACUAAUGUUGAAAAAUUAGCGGAUGACCUGUGGCUGGGGGUGAAAGGCCAAUCAAACCGGGAGAUAGCUGGUUCUCCCCGAAAGCUAUUUAGGUAGCGCCUCGUGAACUCAUCUUCGGGGGUAGAGCACUGUUUCGGCUAGGGGGCCAUCCCGGCUUACCAACCCGAUGCAAACUACGAAUACCGAAGAAUGUUAUCACGGGAGACACACGGCGGGUGCUAACGUCCGUCGUGAAGAGGGAAACAACCCAGACCGCCAGCUAAGGUCCCAAAGUCAUGGUUAAGUGGGAAACGAUGUGGGAAGGCACAGACAGCCAGGAUGUUGGCUUAGAAGCAGCCAUCAUUUAAAGAAAGCGUAAUAGCUCACUGGUCGAGUCGGCCUGCGCGGAAGAUGUAACGGGGCUAAACCAUGCACCGAAGCUGCGGCAGCGACACUAUGUGUUGUUGGGUAGGGGAGCGUUCUGUAAGCCGUUGAAGGUGUGCUGUGAGGCAUGCUGGAGGUAUCAGAAGUGCGAAUGCUGACAUAAGUAACGAUAAAGCGGGUGAAAAGCCCGCUCGCCGGAAGACCAAGGGUUCCUGUCCAACGUUAAUCGGGGCAGGGUGAGUCGACCCCUAAGGCGAGGCCGAAAGGCGUAGUCGAUGGGAAACAGGUUAAUAUUCCUGUACUUGGUGUUACUGCGAAGGGGGGACGGAGAAGGCUAUGUCAGCCGGGCGACGGUUGUCCCGGUUUAAGCAUGUAGGCGGAGGUUCCAGGUAAAUCCGGUACCUUGUUAACGCUGAGGUGUGAUGACGAGGCACUACGGUGCUGAAGUGAUAAAUGCCCUGCUUCCAGGAAAAGCCUCUAAGCAUCAGGUAACACGAAAUCGUACCCCAAACCGACACAGGUGGUCAGGUAGAGAAUACCAAGGCGCUUGAGAGAACUCGGGUGAAGGAACUAGGCAAAAUGGUGCCGUAACUUCGGGAGAAGGCACGCUGAUGUGUAGGUGAAGCCCCUGCGGGUGGAGCUGAAAUCAGUCGAAGAUACCAGCUGGCUGCAACUGUUUAUUAAAAACACAGCACUGUGCAAACACGAAAGUGGACGUAUACGGUGUGACGCCUGCCCGGUGCCGGAAGGUUAAUUGAUGGGGUUAGCGGCAACGCGAAGCUCUUGAUCGAAGCCCCGGUAAACGGCGGCCGUAACUAUAACGGUCCUAAGGUAGCGAAAUUCCUUGUCGGGUAAGUUCCGACCUGCACGAAUGGCGUAAUGAUGGCCAGGCUGUCUCCACCCGAGACUCAGUGAAAUUGAACUCGCUGUGAAGAUGCAGUGUACCCGCGGCAAGACGGAAAGACCCCGUGAACCUUUACUAUAGCUUGACACUGAACACUGGUCCUUGAUGUGUAGGAUAGGUGGGAGGCUUUGAAGCGUGGACGCCAGUCUGCGUGGAGCCAACCUUGAAAUACCACCCUUUAAUGGCUGGUGUUCUAACGUAGACCCGUAAUCCGGGUUGCGGACAGUGUCUGGUGGGUAGUUUGACUGGGGCGGUCUCCUCCCAAAGAGUAACGGAGGAGCACGAAGGUUGGCUAAUCCUGGUCGGACAUCAGGAGGUUAGUGCAAUGGCAUAAGCCAGCUUGACUGCGAGCGUGACGGCGCGAGCAGGUGCGAAAGCAGGUCAUAGUGAUCCGGUGGUUCUGAAUGGAAGGGCCAUCGCUCAACGGAUAAAAGGUACUCCGGGGAUAACAGGCUGAUACCGCCCAAGAGUUCAUAUCGACGGCGGUGUUUGGCACCUCGAUGUCGGCUCAUCACAUCCUGGGGCUGAAGUAGGUCCCAAGGGUAUGGCUGUUCGCCAUUUAAAGUGGUACGCGAGCUGGGUUUAGAACGUCGUGAGACAGUUCGGUCCCUAUCUGCCGUGGGCGCUGGAGAAUUGAGGGGGGCUGCUCCUAGUACGAGAGGACCGGAGUGGACGCAUCACUGGUGUUCGGGUUGUCAUGCCAAUGGCACUGCCCGGUAGCUAAAUGCGGAAGAGAUAAGUGCUGAAAGCAUCUAAGCACGAAACUUGCCCCGAGAUGAGUUCUCCCUGAGACUUUAAGUCUCCUGAAGGAACGUUGAAGACGACGACGUUGAUAGGUCGGGUGUGUAAGCGCAGCGAUGCGUUGAGCUAACCGAUACUAAUGAACCGUGAGGCUUAACCUU